Molecule: long non-coding RNA, 593 nt
Filed under: Toxoplasma gondii VEG
Lineage: Eukaryota; Apicomplexa; Conoidasida; Eucoccidiorida; Sarcocystidae
Source: RNAcentral
CUAAGCUCGAGGAUACCCUGCAAAUCUGUCUCUUCUUGGAGUCUAGCAUGCGUCAUAUCAAGGAAGGCGCAUGCUUAGUCUCUGACUUUCGCGAGGAGCCUCCAGCUUGCGGGCAAGACCACGCCAUAGAAGCGUGGCAGGUAAAAGAUUGGCGAGCCAUGAUGCUAGAGUGGCAAAGAAUGAUGUGCUCGGGCUGGAUUCCGUGAUGCUCGGUUUAUCUACUCGCAAUGGUACAAUUGCAAAACAUGGUCAAUCUAUGAGUUUUAUGUUCGUAAUGCCCCAAACUCACUCGUCUCUUGUUGUGCACGGCAGCCGCCCAACCUCGUUCCAACUCCGAUGAAGUCGAGCUCUCUUGUCCAGUUCUCACUGUUUUGUCCACGGGCGAUGCAUCCUCUGGGUGUACUGUGGUACAUAGACGGCGAAGGAACUGGCAGUUUACCUUGUUAGAGCCUUUACAAAGCUGGGCAAUUGGACUCGUUCCAGCUCGUGAUUUGAUUCGUAAACAAGCAGCUAAACGGUCUGAACCAGUAAUCCAACUCGUACUUUAUGCUCACCAGAACCAGCUUAUUAAUGAUCCUGUCUCAGAGGUGAUG